Molecule: ribosomal RNA, 433 nt
Filed under: uncultured bacterium
Lineage: Bacteria
Description: partial 16S ribosomal RNA
Rfam family: Bacterial small subunit ribosomal RNA
Source: RNAcentral
AACGAACGCUGGCGGCAUGCCUAACACAUGCAAGUCGAACGAUCCCUUCGGGGAUAGUGGCGCACGGGUGCGUAACGCGUGGGAACCUGCCCUUAGGUUCGGAAUAACUCAGAGAAAUUUGAGCUAAUACCGGACAAUGUCUUCGGACCAAAGAUUUAUCGCCUUUGGAUGGGCCCGCGUUGGAUUAGCUAGUUGGUGGGGUAAAGGCCUACCAAGGCGACGAUCCAUAGCUGGUCUGAGAGGAUGAUCAGCCACACUGGGACUGAGACACGGCCCAGACUCCUACGGGAGGCAGCAGUGGGGAAUAUUGGACAAUGGGCGAAAGCCUGAUGCAGCAAUGCCGCGUGAGUGAUGAAGGCCUUAGGGUUGUAAAGCUCUUUUACCCGGGAUGAUAAUGACAGUACCGGGAGAAUAAGCCCCGGCUAACUCCGUG